RNAcentral lists this long non-coding RNA (203 nucleotides) under Elaeis guineensis (African oil palm). RNAcentral's name for it is "long non-coding RNA (EGUI_LNC011989)". Lineage: Eukaryota; Viridiplantae; Streptophyta; Magnoliopsida; Arecales; Arecaceae. The record is from RNAcentral.
GACUAUGCCCGAGAGGAUAGCAGACCCCUCUUUGAGAUUUCUAUGCUGAACGUUUCAGCAUCCGAUCUCUAUACUUUAUCUGUGAAAACACAAGCAUCCAAUUGCAUCUAUCUCUAUAGAUCUUUAGGAUGCUCACUUAAUGUCUUUCAUGAAGAAAUCUAUAUUCAACCAUAUUUUAAUCGAUAUCAGCAUUGGGCACUCCC